This 382-nucleotide ribosomal RNA is filed under the name Angela sp. MN353. RNAcentral describes it as "partial 12S ribosomal RNA". Lineage: Eukaryota; Metazoa; Arthropoda; Insecta; Mantodea; Mantidae. The record is from RNAcentral.
AUACCCUAUUAUUUCUAUUGUAAAAAGUGAAGAUCUGAGUAAUAAUAGCUAUGGUCUUGAAACUUAAGGAAUUUGGCGGUAUUAUAGUCUAUUUAGAGGAAUCUGUUAUGUAAUCGAUAGUCCACGGUGGACCUUACUUAUAUUAAAUUCUUGUAUAUCGCUGUUUAUGAAUAUAUUAGGAGAUUAUAAUUUUCUAAAUAUUUGAGUUAUUAAAAUUUCAAGUCAAGGUGCAGUAAUAUAUAAGUUGAGUAAUGGGUUACAAUAAAAUAAUUUAAACGGAUGGUUAAAGGAAGGAAAAGGAAAAGUAACUUGAAGGUGAAUUUAACAGUAAUUUUUUGAAGAUUGAAAAAAUGAUUAGAGCUCUAUAAUAUGUACACAUCGC